CCCCACACUGGUACUGAGACACGGACCAGACUCCUACGGGAGGCAGCAGUAAGGAAUAUUGCGCAAUAGGCGCAAGCCUGACCCAGCCAUGCCGCGUGCAUGAUGACGGCCCUAUGGGUUGUAAACUGCUUUUGUAUGGGAAAAAACUCCCGCACGUGUGCGGGACUGAUUGUACCAUACGAAUAAGCAUCGGCUAACUCCGUGCCAGCAGCCGCGGUAAUACGGAGGAUGCAAGCGUUAUCCGGAUUUAUUGGGUUUAAAGGGUGCGCAGGCGGAUUAGUAAGUCAGUGGUGAAAGCUCCCGGCUCAACCGGGAAAAUGCCAUUGAUACUGUUAAUCUUGAGUACAGUUGAGGUUGGCGGAAUGUAUCAUGUAGCGGCGAAAUGCAUAGAUAUGAUACAGAACACCGAUAGCGAAGGCAGCUUACCAAACUGUAACCGACGCUCAUGCACGAAAGCGUGGGGAGCAAACAGGAUUAGAUACCCUGGUAGUCCACGCUGUAAACUAUGAUCACUCGCUGUUGGCGAUACACUGUCAGCGGCUUAGCGAAAGUGUUAAGUGAUCCACCUGGGGAGUACGAUCGCAAGGUCGAAACUCAAAGGAAUUGACGGGGGCCCGCACAAGCGGAGGAGCAUAUGGUUUAAUUCGAUGAUACGCGAGGAACCUUACCUGGGCUUAAAUGCAGAACGACCUCCCGAGAAAUCGGGACUUCCUUCGGGACGGACUGCAAGGUGCUGCAUGGUUGUCGUCAGCUCGUGCCGUGAGGUGUCGGGUUAAGUCCCAUAACGAGCGCAACCCUUAUCCUUAGUUGCCAACAGGUAAUGCUGGGAACUCUAAGGAAACUGCCUACGCAAGUAGUGAGGAAGGUGGGGAUGACGUCAAAUCAGCACGGCCCUUAUGUCCAGGGCUACACACGUGCUACAAUGGUCGGUACAGAGGGCAGCUACCUGGCAACAGGAUGCUAAUCUCGAAAGCCGAUCUCAGUUCGGAUUGGAGUCUGCAACUCGACUCCAUGAAGUUGGAUUCGCUAGUAAUCGCGCAUCAGCCAUGGCACGGUGAAUACGUUCCCCGGACAUUGUACACACCGCCCGUCAAGCCAUGGAAGCUGGGAGUACCUGAAGUCUGUUACCGCAAGGAGCGGCCUAGGGUAAACCAGUAACUGGGGCUAAGUC
RNAcentral lists this ribosomal RNA (1171 nucleotides) under uncultured organism. Its description in RNAcentral is "bacterial SSU rRNA". It matches the Rfam family "Bacterial small subunit ribosomal RNA", at positions 306 to 1487 of the family's 1533-position model. The record is from RNAcentral.